This 253-nucleotide unclassified non-coding RNA is filed under the name uncultured Saccharospirillaceae bacterium. RNAcentral describes it as "contains 16S-23S intergenic spacer region". It matches the Rfam family "Bacterial small subunit ribosomal RNA", at positions 524 to 776 of the family's 1533-position model. The record is from RNAcentral. Lineage: Bacteria; Pseudomonadati; Pseudomonadota; Gammaproteobacteria; Oceanospirillales; Saccharospirillaceae.
UGCGGAGGGAGCAAGCGUUAAUCGGAAUUAAUGGGCGUAAAUCGCGCGUAGGCGGCAAGUUAAGUUGGGUGUGAAAGCUCCGGGCUCAACCUGGGAACUGCAUCCAAAACUGGCUAGCUCGAGUACAGCAGAGGAUAGUGGAAUUUCCGGUGUAGCGGUGAAAUGCGUAGAGAGCGGAAGGAACACCAGUGGAGAAGGCGACUGUCUGGGCUGAUACUGACGCUGAGGUGCGAAAGCGUGGGGAGCAAACAGG